Molecule: long non-coding RNA, 656 nt
Filed under: Carica papaya (papaya)
Lineage: Eukaryota; Viridiplantae; Streptophyta; Magnoliopsida; Brassicales; Caricaceae
Description: long non-coding RNA (CPAP_LNC006027)
Source: RNAcentral
GAUCGGAUGGCCCAUAUUCGUUCCCGCGCACACGGACGGUCCAUAUCAAAAGCACGCAUGGACGGCCCAGAUCUCACGCGUGCGGACGACCUAGAUUUGAUCAUGCACGGACGGUUCAGAUCGCAUGGCGAUGGACGGUCCAGAUUUAUUUCUAAUUUAAUCGUGAUCGGACGGCUCAGAUUAAAUCAAGAUGAAUGACUCAGAUUAAAAGAAGAAUGUUAUAAAUAAUCGCAUCCACAUCAAACCCCAAACCUUAGCUGCCAAAACCCUCACCGGAGAAGAUGACCCAGCCACCAGAGGAACCGGCUGCCGCCACCCGCUGCCGCACCGAAGGAUUUUAUGGCCGCCAAACGAGGUAAAAUUUCUCCCCUUGGCUCGUUUUUCGAUGUUGAACCUCUCUGUGGUCAAAUCGAAGCCAAACCACCGGUCAAUUGGCCGAAAAACACCGUCUAAGUCCAGCGGCGUCGCCGCGGGUUUCUUCGAUUUUUGCCUCCGAUGAUGUCCUUCCCGGUUCCUGUUCGAUGUAAUUUUUAUACCAUUGUGACCAUCGUCCUUUUCUCUACAGGUUGACCGGAGCAAAACACCAAAUCCCAACUCGCGUCGGAGGAGCCGCCGCACCUGAGAGCUUCGCCGCCGAUAAGUCUCGAUUUUCUAGA